Molecule: ribosomal RNA, 253 nt
Filed under: uncultured bacterium
Lineage: Bacteria
Description: partial 16S ribosomal RNA
Rfam family: Bacterial small subunit ribosomal RNA
Source: RNAcentral
UACAGAGGUCUCAAGCGUUGUUCGGAUUCAUUGGGCGUAAAGGGUGUGUAGGUGGCGCGCUAAGUCGGGUGUGAAAUUUCGGAGCUUAACUCCGAAACUGCAUUCGAUACUGGCGUGCUUGAGGACUGGAGAGGAGACUGGAAUUCAUGGUGUAGCAGUGAAAUGCGUAGAGAUCAUGAGGAAGACCAGUGGCGAAGGCGGGUCUCUGGACAGUUCCUGACACUGAGACACGAAGACCAGGGGAGCAAACGGG